RNAcentral lists this small RNA (29 nucleotides) under Bombyx mori (domestic silkworm). RNAcentral's name for it is "ovarian small RNA-6045". Lineage: Eukaryota; Metazoa; Arthropoda; Insecta; Lepidoptera; Bombycidae. The record is from RNAcentral.
UACCGAUGGUCCGACAGCGUCUCCACCUC